GGAUGUGAGGGAGAUCUGGCUGCGACAUCUGUCACCACAUUGAUCUAGGGUUGAUUAGACUGAUCUGGCUGGCUAGGCAGGUGUCCCCUUCCUCUCUCUCACUGCUCUGUGAGCGUCCUUCCCAAAGCUGAGUGCUCAGUUGAAGAGGACGACCUUCCCUGACAGAGGAGGACAGAUCUUCAGUCAAGGAUAUACAAAUAGGUGCAUUCCCUGUGUUCUACUCCAGACAAGAAAGGUGGCUCUCUCUCUAUAGGGAGAUGAUUUACACUUUGUCCUUCUUCA
RNAcentral lists this small nuclear RNA (282 nucleotides) under Propithecus coquereli (Coquerel's sifaka). RNAcentral's name for it is "7SK RNA (ENSPCOG00000004259.1)". The stretch from base 1 to 249 matches the Rfam family "7SK RNA". From Rfam's summary of the family: 7SK was discovered as an abundant small nuclear RNA in the mid-70s but a possible function has only recently been suggested. Two independent studies have found that 7SK RNA binds the CDK9/cyclin T complex (known as elongation factor P-TEFb). P-TEFb activates transcription by phosphorylating the C-terminal domain of RNA polymerase II. Lineage: Eukaryota; Metazoa; Chordata; Mammalia; Primates; Indriidae. The record is from RNAcentral.